Molecule: non-coding RNA, 103 nt
Filed under: Jeotgalibacillus campisalis
Lineage: Bacteria; Bacillati; Bacillota; Bacilli; Caryophanales; Caryophanaceae
Description: Guanine sequence
Rfam family: Purine riboswitch aptamer
About the family: Riboswitches are metabolite binding domains within certain messenger RNAs that serve as precision sensors for their corresponding targets. Allosteric rearrangement of mRNA structure is mediated by ligand binding, and this results in modulation of gene expression.
Source: Rfam by way of RNAcentral
AAACGAAUAAGCAUACGACCUCAUAUAAUCAUUGGGAAUAGGGCCCAAAAGUUUCUACCUGGUUACCGUAAAUGACCGGACUAUGAGGGAAAGUGAUGCCUUG